This 875-nucleotide ribosomal RNA is filed under the name Bacillus sp. AS1(4). RNAcentral's name for it is "bacterial SSU rRNA". It matches the Rfam family "Bacterial small subunit ribosomal RNA", at positions 45 to 904 of the family's 1533-position model. The record is from RNAcentral. Lineage: Bacteria; Bacillati; Bacillota; Bacilli; Caryophanales; Bacillaceae.
UGCUAUACAUGCAAGUCGAGCGAAUGAUGAAGAAGCUUGCUUCUUCUGAUUUAGCGGCGGACGGGUGAGUAACACGUGGGCAACCUACCUAGUAGAUUGGGAUAACUCCGGGAAACCGGGGCUAAUACCGAAUAAUCCAUUUUGUCACAUGGCAAAAUGCUGAAAGGCGGUUUCGGCUGUCACUACUAGAUGGGCCCGCGGUGCAUUAGCUAGUUGGUGGGGUAAUGGCCUACCAAGGCAACGAUGCAUAGCCGACCUGAGAGGGUGAUCGGCCACAUUGGGACUGAGACACGGCCCAAACUCCUACGGGAGGCAGCAGUAGGGAAUCUUCCACAAUGGACGAAAGUCUGAUGGAGCAACGCCGCGUGAGUGAUGAAGGUUUUCGGAUCGUAAAACUCUGUUGUAAGGGAAGAACAAGUACGUUAGUAACUGAACGUACCUUGACGGUACCUUAUUAGAAAGCCACGGCUAACUACGUGCCAGCAGCCGCGGUAAUACGUAGGUGGCAAGCGUUGUCCGGAUUUAUUGGGCGUAAAGCGCGCGCAGGUGGUUUCUUAAGUCUGAUGUGAAAGCCCACGGCUCAACCGUGGAGGGUCAUUGGAAACUGGGAGACUUGAGUGCAGAAGAGGAAAGUGGAAUUCCAAGUGUAGCGGUGAAAUGCGUAGAGAUUUGGAGGAACACCAGUGGCGAAGGCGACUUUCUGGUCUGUAACUGACACUGAGGCGCGAAAGCGUGGGGAGCAAACAGGAUUAGAUACCCUGGUAGUCCACGCCGUAAACGAUGAGUGCUAAGUGUUAGGGGGUUUCCGCCCCUUAGUGCUGCAGCUAACGCAUUAAGCACUCCGCCUGGGGAGUACGGCCGCAAGGUUGAACCAG